RNAcentral lists this transfer RNA (71 nucleotides) under Campylobacter upsaliensis. Its description in RNAcentral is "tRNA-Ile". It matches the Rfam family "tRNA". Rfam says of the family: Transfer RNA (tRNA) molecules are approximately 80 nucleotides in length. The record is from RNAcentral. Lineage: Bacteria; Pseudomonadati; Campylobacterota; Epsilonproteobacteria; Campylobacterales; Campylobacteraceae.
GGCCUAUAGCUCAGCUGGUUAGAGUGCACCCCUGAUAAGGGUGAGGUCACAAGUUCAAGUCUUGUUAGGCC